AAAAUUUGGAGAAAGAGCUUUCAAAGCAUGGGCAGUAGCUCGCCUGAGCCAGAGAUUUCCCAAAGCUGAGUUUGCAGAAGUUUCCAAGUUAGUGACAGAUCUUACCAAAGUCCACACGGAAUGCUGCCAUGGAGAUCUGCUUGAAUGUGCUGAUGACAGGGUAAAGAGUCGUCGAUAUGCUUUUUGGUAGCUUGCAUGCUCAAGUUGGUAGAAUGGAUGCGUUUGGUAUCAUUGGUGAUAGCUGACAGUGGGUUGAGAUUGU
This 262-nucleotide small RNA is filed under the name Pan troglodytes (chimpanzee). RNAcentral's name for it is "retained intron". Lineage: Eukaryota; Metazoa; Chordata; Mammalia; Primates; Hominidae. The record is from RNAcentral.